UUUUUGUUUAUUUAAGAAUAUUCACAUGCUAUCCCUGAAAAUUAGCCAUACCUUCAUUCCACAUUUUCUAUGGAAGAGUUCAGACAUGAGGAAUUGUUAAAGCUAAUUACUAGCAAGAAAAAAAAAAUGUGUUUUUAAAUGAAGCACAAAACAUCAAAAAAAACAGAGGCUGAAGCAGGAAAUAACUUGGCACAGGAGGAAGACCCAGUAGCAGAUGAUGCCCAGGCUGCAUAACCUUGAACACAGCAUUUCUAACCAAGGCCAGGUUCAUGGGGAAGCUGCCAGUGCAGCCACAGUGUCCUGUGCCCACAAGGGCCUUAUGCUUGUGGUUAAUGCCAUUGUCUUAAAACUCUUCAUUUUAUCUCUGACUUAUGUUUUUAAAAUGAAGUCUAGGAGUCAGCUGAGCAUGUGCUGAUGGCUUGGAGGCUUGGCCCACAGAAGGGCCCAUCUCAGCUCCCCUCUCUCAGACAGGCUCUCAGCACCCACUCUCCCACUCCCUGGCACCUCAGGACAUGCUCAGCCUCCUCUUCCUGCCUCCUUUCCACCCAAAGUGUGGGAUGUGCUCCACGCCACCUUCGGACAGGACAUGCACUCCAGGGUGGCAUCCGGGCUGGCAGUACCAAGUGCAGUAAGCAGGUUGUCUCUGUUUCCUCUCGACUUAUUUCACUGACAAAAAGCAUGUUUUUAAUCUGCUUUGUAUCACUGAACCAACUGAGAAAACGAGUCCUGUUCCUCAUGAAUUAUUGAAGCUUGUUGUCAGCAACUAUAAACCCCGGAGGCAGAUGACAGCCCCAGAAGCUGAGAGAAGACAGCCCAAUCUGCGGAGCCCAGUGAGGGGAAAAAGGGAGAAAGAAAAUCGCUCUUGAAUGGAAAAUUGAAGAAACUCCUGUUUCAGUUUAGAAUAUGGAUGUGAGGGAGCUCUUCACAACCAACGCAAAUCAAAACUGAUGAAUAAGUCUUCUUGGAUAAAGUUUUAUGCUAUUUCUCUUGUACUUGUUCUUUCCUUAACAAAUCUUACUUGGUUGGGAUCAGAAUCAAUUAAAGUGAUUUAAAUGAUAAGUUUCAGAGGUAAAGCUUGUGGGCGCUUAACAUAGAUAUUGAUUCAAAAAAGUUAGUAUGUAAAAUAAAACAAGUCUGUUUAUCACCAGGUAGAACUAGAAUGAACAAGAACACUGAGUAUUUUCAGGGGGUUCAUGUGAGUCCUGUUCUCCCUGUUGUCAGUUUUAAUUCAUUAUCUAUUCAUUCAGUAAGUAUUUGCUGAAGUCUCUCAGUAGCUUUCUCUCUGUUCCUUUUUUUAGCAUUUAUUUGGCCGUGUUGGGUCUUAGUUGCAGUGCAUGUGGUCCUCGUUGCAGGGUGUGGGCGUCCCUCUAGCUGUGGUGCUGGUGGGCUUAGUUGUCCCAAGCCAUGUGGGAUCUUAGUUCCCAGACCAGGGGUCGAACCCUUGUUCCCUGCAUUGGAAGGCAGAUUCCUAACCACUGGACCACCAGGGAAGUCCCUCUCUGUUCUUCUUGAAGCAAAUACUCUUCAGAAAGAACAGAGGCCAUCGGGUGUCAGGGCCAGAGUGCUCAGCCUUGGGUAGGGAGGCGCCUUCCCCUCUCUGAGUCCCAGUGGCCUGCAUCUGUAUGACUCCAAGAGCGAAUGGCCCUGAAGUCUGAUAUCCUUGGCACCUCACUCACCCACCCUUGUCUAAGCCCUGCCUCCAUACAGUGCACUUUGGUGAAUUUUAUGACUCCAGAGACAUCUUAGGUAUAAAGAUCUUGUCUCUGCUCUGUCUCCUCAUAGUGGAAAGCUAGUAAAAGUGUAAGCAGCUCACCCUGACUCCAAGGUUAAUUGCACCCCCAAGCCCAGCUGCAGUGGCUGCUUUCCAAAGGAGCUGCCCACAUCGGGGGUAAGGAAGCGCCAUUGCACUGAGGGCGGUCACGAGGGCACUUGCUGAAUGCUGACACUGGACAUUCCUGCCCAGUGUUGACUGCUUCUUUGGUUCCUGUCUUGUGCUUUGGCUCUGAGCUUUGCUAACUGUGACUUUUGGCUCUGGCUCCUUCUGGGCUGCUGCCCGCUGCCUCCUUGUGUUCUCAGUGGCAGACCUUGCAGCUCUGCCCAUCAGCUGUGUCCUUGCUCUGGCUUGUUGCAUUCAUCCCCUUUAGGCCUCCUGCUCUCUUUCCUCCACAGUCCUGGGCUGAGGUCCUAAGGCCAUGUCACAGUCCAAGGUUUGGUCACUGACAGUGUGUCCUGGAAAGGAGAAGCGAGACCAGAAACAUUUGUUUUCUAUUAUUCUUCAUGAAAGACAGACUAAAAAGAUUCUGCCCUUCUGGACUACAUAGGUGUGUUAUAAAGAUUAACAUCCGUGAAGCCUGUGUGGAUUAAUGUAAAAAGCAGCCAUGUAGAAGAUUGCCAAGCUAUUGCCUUGGCAACAUCCCCAGGUUAGGAAGAGACCUAAAACACAAGCUGUCAUUAUAAAGUAAGGAGGCUGUUUUUUUCCCCUACCAAAAGCAUCAAACUGUAUACUUGUAGAUAACUCUUGUCCCUUUCAAAUUAAUCAUUGUGGGGAAACACUCACUUAUUUCAGCAAUUAAUGCCCACUCAAAAAAAUUUUAUGACUCAACUUUUGGUAUUUCCUUUAAGGACAGAGGCUUAUUUUCUUUCCCCCAAAUCUCCUUAGUGGUAAAGUGUCUUUAUUUUAUCAAGGUUGUCCUGAAUUUAAAACAAACCAAAUCUGGAAGGAAAGUCAGCCAUGAGUCAGGGAAGUAUUGGAGAGAGACAGAUACACAGAGAGAAACUGAUUGAUUGAUUCCACCUGAAACUAAAAAGAAAAAAAGACUUGACUGUAAUAGUAAGGUGGAUGUGUGUGUCUGCAGGCAUGCAUGUGGAGGGUGGAGUGAUUGUGUUUAGGAAAGUCAGAGAGACUAGCCUUGGUAUUUCAAUUUGUUGGUAGUGACUUUACGUCCCACUGAACAAAGAAUGCAAAUCUAACAGGCCAUGCAUGCUACAGCUUCCAUCCCUGUCAGGACAAUUUCUCAGCUUCAGUCUUGAUUAGAAGCACAAUUUUUUUUUUUUUUUUAACAGACGAUGCUGUCAGCUGGAAGGAAAAAGUCCCACAGGGCACAUCAUGGGAAUGUCUCUCCACCCAGGGUUCACAUAGCUUUGUCAUCAUAUCUGAUCUCUGCUGCCGCAGAUAACAAGCCAACAGAACUGGACGUGCAGACUUGGGAAGGCUUGCAAUUGAAUUUUUUAGAAAAAGGUUACUAUACAGACUGGUCAGCCCCUUUUGUACCACUGCCACUAUUCUCUAGGUCCAGUAUUCCUUCCCUCAGGCCUCUCUGUGCCUUUAUAAAGAUCAGCAAUUAUUUUCAGCUCCAAGCAGGAGGCUGCCAUGCAGGGGCUCCCCAGAGGCAAUAAGUCUGGGAGAGAAGGUGGAUGAUUUACAGGUCAACAGCUACCUGGUAGAUACUGCGGGAUACCUUGCUGUCAAUACCAAAGGAUUGAUGAGCAUGGCUUUGUGAGCCAUAAAAACAAUCUGUAAGAAAAAAAAAGAAAAGGAAUCAAAAUCUUUUCUCCUCCUCUUGGACAAUCUGGUGGUUUCUUUCUUCGGUUUUGGUAGCUAAUGCCAUUUUUAGAUGCCUAUGAAAAAGACAGAAACAUUCUUGCUUUGUGAAUUCUGGCAUUUAAACUCAUACUGUGUGUAAUCUAGCCAACAUUAACAAUGGACUGAAUUCCCUGUGUUUGCAACAUUUCCUGGAUCCCCAGGGGGGCUCUGCCUGUCAGACGCUACUGAGGACCACUUAAGGCUAAGUCGGAGGUGCUCGGAGGUGCUCAGCCCCCUGUGCCUGCUGUGACUCUCAGCUGUAGUGCUCACCUCCCCACCCUGUGAUGGGCAUUUCUCCCUUGCCAACCGGCCAGUACUAUCCACUUGCCACGUUUCAGGAACUGAAAUGCCAGAGUAUCCUGAGGUCCCAUGUUCAGGUUUUUCUUUUCUUUUUUUUUUUUUUCCUAUUUUCAUCCCUCUGGUAGAUACUACAUUAUUUUAGAAUGAAUUAGCUGAAUCUGUUUUGUCCUGUCACCUAAAUUCAAUUCAGCUUAACAAUCACUUAUGAAAUCCUCGCUAAGGACAGAUAUGAAAGCUGCAGAUGGUAAAUGAAAAUUGAAGACAUCAUUCAGUAUCUAAUUGGGUGGAUAUUCAAGCACAAAAAAAGGCAAUGUGUUAAUAACACAAGGUAGAAUGAGAUAGGUGUCUUAGGAUACAUGGAACAUUGUUCCUUCACCGUUGUACUGUGAAAUACUGGCCAUCAGGAAUGGGAUACUACUGAUGAGGAAAAGAGUGAAACACAGACAUCAGGAAGCCGCCCCAUCAAACACUUGUGCAGUGAAUCCUUUGCCUAUACUGAUAGUUUCUGAAUGGUGCUAGGUAGGUCAGUCUGUUCUCAGGGUAUAAGUGUGACGAGGCUGUUAUUUACUUUUUACAUACAUUACUUUUUUUGGGGGGGGGGUUAUUUAUUUAUUUAUUUUUAAAAUCUUUAAUUCUUACAUGCAUUCCCAAACAUGAACCCCCCUCCCACCUCCCUCCCCAUAACAUCUUUCUGGGUCAUCCCCAUGCACCAGCCCCAAGCAUGCUGCAUCCUGCGUCAGACAUAGACUGGCGAUUCAAUUCACAUGAUAGUAUACAUGUUAGAAUGUCAUUCUCCCAAAUCAUCCCACC
RNAcentral lists this long non-coding RNA (4693 nucleotides) under Ovis aries (sheep). Its description in RNAcentral is "lncRNA (ENSOARG00000026285.1)". Lineage: Eukaryota; Metazoa; Chordata; Mammalia; Artiodactyla; Bovidae. The record is from RNAcentral.